Molecule: ribosomal RNA, 253 nt
Filed under: uncultured bacterium
Lineage: Bacteria
Description: partial 16S ribosomal RNA
Rfam family: Bacterial small subunit ribosomal RNA
Source: RNAcentral
UACGUAGGGUGCGAGCGUUGAUCGGAAUUAUUGGGCGUAAAGCGUGCGCAGGCGGCUUUGCAAGUCAGAUGUGAAAUCCCCGGGCUUAACCUGGGAACUGCAUUUGUGACUGCAUGGCUGGAGUGCGGCAGAGGGGGAUGGAAUUCCGCGUGUAGCAGUGAAAUGCGUAGAUAUGCGGAGGAACACCGAUGGCGAAGGCAAUCCCCUGGGCCUGCACUGACGCUCAUGCACGAAGGCGUGGGGAGCAAACAGG